RNAcentral lists this non-coding RNA (81 nucleotides) under Phyllostachys edulis (moso bamboo). The record is from RNAcentral. Lineage: Eukaryota; Viridiplantae; Streptophyta; Magnoliopsida; Poales; Poaceae.
CUGCCGACUCAUUCACCCACAUGCCAAGCAACGGUAGUGAGAGAGCUUAGCAGAUGAGUGAAUGAAGCGGGAGGUAAAGUU